UUAAAUGAUGGGUCUGCGUAUCAUUAGUUAGUUGGUAAGGUAACGGCUUACCAAGACAUCGAUGAUUAGCUGGUCUGAGAGGAUGAUCAGCCACACUGGGACUGAGAUACGGCCCAGACUCCUACGGGAGGCAGCAGUGAGGAAUAUUGCACAAUGGGGGCAACCCUGAUGCAGCAACGCCGCGUGUACGAAGAAUCUGAUUACAGUGUAAAGUACUGUUAGAAGGGACGAAAUAUUUGAUUAGGAGUCAAAUUUGCCGGUACCUUCUAAGAAAGCUCCGGCUAACUCCGUGCCAGCAGCCGCGGUAAUACGGGGGGAGCAAGCGUUGUCCGGAAUCAUUGGGCGUAAAGGGCAUGUAGGUGGUAUAUUAAGUCAGUUUUUAAAUGUCACGGCUUAACCGUGGACUGGAAUUGAAACUGGUAUACUUGAGUAUGAGAGGGGACAGAGGAAUACCUAGUGUAGCGGUGGAAUGCGUAGAUAUUAGGUAGAACACCCGAGGCGAAGGCGUCUGUCUGGCUCAUUACUGACACUGAAAUGCGAAAGCAUGGGUAGCGAACAGGAUUAGAUACCCUGGUAGUCCAUGCCGUAAACGAUGGAUACUAGGUGUCGGGGGACUAGCCCCCUCGGUGCCGUAGCAAACGCGUUAAGUAUCCCGCCUGGGGGAGUACGAUCGCAAGGUUGAAACUCAAAGGAAUUGACGGGGGG
This 705-nucleotide ribosomal RNA is filed under the name uncultured bacterium. RNAcentral describes it as "bacterial SSU rRNA". It matches the Rfam family "Bacterial small subunit ribosomal RNA", at positions 218 to 920 of the family's 1533-position model. The record is from RNAcentral.